This 361-nucleotide ribosomal RNA is filed under the name uncultured fungus. RNAcentral's name for it is "SSU rRNA". It matches the Rfam family "Eukaryotic small subunit ribosomal RNA", at positions 1320 to 1704 of the family's 1831-position model. The record is from RNAcentral. Lineage: Eukaryota; Fungi.
GCCCUUCGAUAACGAACGAGACCUUAACCUACUAAAUAGCUCGAUUAGCAUUAGCUGAUUAUAAGCUUCUUAGAGGGACUAUCGAUUUCAAGUCGAUGGAAGUUUGAGGCAAUAACAGGUCUGUGAUGCCCUUAGACGUUCUGGGCCGCACGCGCGUUACACUGACAGGGCCAGCGAGUACCUCCUUGGCCGAAAGGCCCGGGUAAUCUUGUUAAACCCUGUCGUGCUGGGGAUAGAGCAUUGCAAUUAUUGCUCUUCAACGAGGAAUCCCUAGUAAGCGCAAGUCAUCAGCUUGCGUUGAUUACGUCCCUGCCCUUUGUACACACCGCCCGUCGCUACUACCGAUUGAAUGGCUAAGGGC